GUACUUGCUUCAGUAGCACAUACACUAAAAUUGGAACAAAACCAAGAAUAUUUGCAUGACCCCUGCUCACAGAUGACAUCAAAAUUCAUGAAGUAUUCCACAUUUA
RNAcentral lists this small nuclear RNA (106 nucleotides) under Mus pahari (shrew mouse). The record is from RNAcentral. Lineage: Eukaryota; Metazoa; Chordata; Mammalia; Rodentia; Muridae.